This 411-nucleotide ribosomal RNA is filed under the name Verrucomicrobiota bacterium. Its description in RNAcentral is "Verrucomicrobia bacterium partial 16S ribosomal RNA". It matches the Rfam family "Bacterial small subunit ribosomal RNA", at positions 355 to 776 of the family's 1533-position model. The record is from RNAcentral. Lineage: Bacteria; Pseudomonadati; Verrucomicrobiota.
UGGGGAAUAUUGCGCAAUGGGGGAAACCCUGACGCAGCGACGCCGCGUGCGGGAUGAAGGCCUUCGGGUUGUAAACCGCUUUUGAUUGGGAGCAAGCUUUCGGGUGAGUGUACCUUUCGAAUAAGCGCCGGCUAACAACGUGCCAGCAGCCGCGGUAAUAGGUAGGGCGAAAGCGUUAUCCGGAAUUAUUGGGCGUAAAGAGCUUGUAGGCGGUUCGUCGCGUCUGGUGUGAAAGCCCAUCGCUUAACGGUGGGUUUGCGCCGGGUACGUGCGGGCUAGAGUGCAGUAGGGGAGACUGGAAUUCCCGGUGUAACGGUUGAAUGUGUAGAUAUCGGGAAGAACACCAAUGGCGAAGGCAGGUCUCUGGGCUGUUACUGACGCUGAGAAGCGAAAGCGUGGGGAGCGAACAGG